RNAcentral lists this ribosomal RNA (497 nucleotides) under uncultured bacterium. RNAcentral's name for it is "partial 16S ribosomal RNA". It matches the Rfam family "Bacterial small subunit ribosomal RNA", at positions 28 to 507 of the family's 1533-position model. The record is from RNAcentral.
GAUGAACGCUGGCGGCGUGCCUAAUACAUGCAAGUCGAGCGAACGGACGAGAAGCUUGCUUCUCUGAUGUUAGCGGCGGACGGGUGAGUAACACGUGGAUAACCUACCUAUAAGACUGGGAUAACUUCGGGAAACCGGAGAUAAUACCGGAUAAUAUUUUGAACCGCAUGGUUCAAAAGUGAAAGACGGUCUUGCUGUCACUUAUAGAUGGAUCCGCGCUGCAUUAGCUAGUUGGUAAGGUAACGGCUUACCAAGGCAACGAUGCAUAGCCGACCUGAGAGGGUGAUCGGCCACACUGGAACUGAGACACGGUCCAGACUCCUACGGGAGGCAGCAGUAGGGAAUCUUCCGCAAUGGGCGAAAGCCUGACGGAGCAACGCCGCGUGAGUGAUGAAGGUCUUCGGAUCGUAAAACUCUUUUAUUAGGGAAGAACAUAUGUGUAAGUAACUGUGCACAUCUUGACGGUACCUAAUCAGAAAGCCACGGCUAACUACGUG